RNAcentral lists this ribosomal RNA (530 nucleotides) under Sticta gallowayana. Its description in RNAcentral is "eukaryotic LSU rRNA". It matches the Rfam family "Eukaryotic large subunit ribosomal RNA", at positions 102 to 646 of the family's 3401-position model. Lineage: Eukaryota; Fungi; Ascomycota; Lecanoromycetes; Peltigerales; Lobariaceae. The record is from RNAcentral.
CAACAGCUCAAAUUUGAAAUCUGGCCUCCUCGAGGUCCGAGUUGUAAUUUGUAGAGGGUGCUUCGGGUGCGAUGCCGGUCUAAGUUCCUUGGAACAGGACGUCGUAGAGGGUGAGAAUCCCGUAUGCGACCGGCGAUCAAGCCCGUGCGAAGCCCCUUCGACGAGUCGAGUUGUUUGGGAAUGCAGCUCAAAAUGGGUGGUAAAUUUCAUCUAAAGCUAAAUAUUGGCCAGAGACCGAUAGCGGACAAGUAGAGUGAUCGAAAGAUGAAAAGCACUUUGGAAAGAGAGUCAAACAGUACGUGAAAUUGUUGAAAGGGAAGCGCUUGCAAUCAGACCGGUCCGGAGGUGAUCAGCCGCUGCUCGUCAGCGGUGCACUCGCCUGCGAUCCGGCCAGCAUCGGUUUGGGCGGCGGGAUAAAAGUCCCGGGAAUGUAGCUUCUCCCGGGGAGUCUUAUAGCCCGGGUCGCAAUGCCGCCCGCCCGGACCGAGGACCGCGCUUCGGCUAGGAUGCUGGCGUAAUGGUUGCAAGCG